Non-coding RNA from Macaca mulatta (Rhesus monkey), 1166 nucleotides. NCBI's taxonomy places the organism in Eukaryota, Metazoa, Chordata, Mammalia, Primates, Cercopithecidae. The record is from RefSeq and is a predicted model, not a curated record.
GGAAAGUCCACUGUUGCCCUCCCAUGAAGGCAAACUGUUCCUGGCUCUCUGAACAAGAAGUCCCAGUUCCGUUGUCAAGUGGUCCAGCAAGUCCGUGACAGACGGUACAGCUGCCAAGCCCUACAAAACAUCCACCCUCAGAAUGUCUUCAGGUAUGGGAGACACAUACACAGUGCAUAAGUGGAGAGCCAAGCAGCCGAUGCCAAGAUGCAAAGACCCAGAUUUUGCUUUCACUGACCAACUUUCGUAGCUGUUUAUGCAGCUCUGCCCGGAAACUUAUCCGGGUUCAGAGACCAGUGGAUUGCCAAAUCCACAUGUGGCUCUGGUUGUCCAGUGCCCCGCAAGCCGGGCACCUUGGCCAGUUCUCUUAUCAAGCAGAAAAGGCUUUACCCUUCCGCCAGCUGCAGCAGGUACUCUUUGAACUGGAAUGCUCGGGCAGGACUGGGUUGCGCAGCAAUGAUCCUUCUCCCAAAUGACUUGCGCUAAGUCUGUACACAACUGCAGACAUUAGUUGCUUAACUCCCGCAACUCAGCGGGGACACAGGCAUCAUAGGAAACGUGUUCCACCACAAUGGGGGAGUCUCUGGGCCUCCUCUUGGGACCCGACAGCUGUUCAUGCUCUAUUUUCUGACGGACUACCCGGCGGGCCUGCAACGGAGGUUUCUCCUCCCUGUGCUGCAUCCUGCUGGGAUUUGGCAUUCAUUUCCCUCAGCACAGUCGCAAAUGCCCAUCUGACUCUGCUGGCAAAGGCCCUGUCCUACCAUGAGCUGAAGAGGCAGCAGCAUAUGUGUUUGGAGUUUAGUAGGGACUGAGAAGCAGGGAAAAGAACUGCCUAACCAAAGAGAUGGCAUCUUGAUGUGUUCUCCUGGCUGGCCUUGAACUUCUGAGCUCAAGUGAUCCUCCCACCUCAGCCUCUCAAAGUGCUGGGAUUACAGGUAUAAGCCACCAUGCCCAGCCUAUUUCUUGAAAUUUGGUCUCCAACCAUGCUAAAAAACUGGUCAUUGCCUAAUCAGGUAAGACAUGAUGAAUCACACUCUCCAGGCUCCUGAAGUAGCUUACCAAUAUUGGGAAUACCUGUUGACCCUGAUUACUCAGACUAUAUCCUGCCUGGGCUGUCAGGCAGCUCAAAGUUAAAUUUUUAUUUUUUAUUAUAAGAGACAUGGCCA